CGAUGAUCCUCAGCUUGCUGGGGGGAUUAGUGGCGAACGGGUGAGUAACACGUGAGUAACCUGCCCUUGACUCUGGGAUAAGCCUGGGAAACUGGGUCUAAUACUGGAUAUGACCUUCCAUCGCAUGGUGGUUGGUGGAAAGCUUUUGUGGUUUUGGAUGGACUCGCGGCCUAUCAGCUUGUUGGUGGGGUAAUGGCCUACCAAGGCGACGACGGGUAGCCGGCCUGAGAGGGUGGACGGCCACACUGGGACUGAGACACGGCCCAGACUCCUACGGGAGGCAGCAGUGGGGAAUAUUGCACAAUGGGCGCAAGCCUGAUGCAGCGACGCCGCGUGAGGGAUGAAGGCCUUCGGGUUGUAAACCUCUUUCAGUAGGGAAGAAGCGUAAGUGACGGUACCUGCAGAAGAAGCGCCGGCUAACUACGUGCCAGCAGCCGCGGUAAUACGUAGGGCGCAAGCGUUAUCCGGAAUUAUUGGGCGUAAAGAGCUCGUAGGCGGUUUGUCGCGUCUGCCGUGAAAGUCCGGGGCUUAACUCCGGAUCUGCGGUGGGUACGGGCAGACUUGAGUGAUGUAGGGGAGACUGGAAUUCCUGGUGUAGCGGUGAAAUGCGCAGAUAUCAGGAGGAACACCGAUGGCGAAGGCAGGUCUCUGGGCAUUAACUGACGCUGAGGAGCGAAAGCAUGGGGAGCGAACAGGAUUAGAUACCCUGGUAGUCCAUGCCGUAAACGUUGGGCACUAGGUGUGGGGGACAUUCCACGUUUUCCGCGCCGUAGCUAACGCAUUAAGUGCCCCGCCUGGGGAGUAC
RNAcentral lists this ribosomal RNA (805 nucleotides) under Arthrobacter sp. RNAcentral describes it as "bacterial SSU rRNA". It matches the Rfam family "Bacterial small subunit ribosomal RNA", at positions 67 to 883 of the family's 1533-position model. Lineage: Bacteria; Bacillati; Actinomycetota; Actinomycetes; Micrococcales; Micrococcaceae. The record is from RNAcentral.